CUUAAUAGCUUUCUCCUCAAUCUCUAUCUUUUCUCCAAGAUAUUGCUUUAUAUGUCUUGCAUAAACAGGAAUUUGUUGAAGUGUUUUGGUCAACGGUGUAGUAAUCUCCAUUUGAUUGAAGAUUUCUCUAAAACACUCACACUUACUCUUUUUUCUCUCUUUCUCUCUUGUGUAAGGAAGAUCUCUCUCGUCUUUCUCAAUUUUCUCCUCUUUUUCUAUUUUUUUCUCUUCCCCCUUCUCUUUUUCUUCUUCAAUCAUUCCCUCACCUAUUUCUUCUUUUUCCUCUCUCUUUUCUAACUCUACACUUUCUUUUUCCACUCUUUCCUCAACCAUGCUCACCACAACCUUACAAUCUUCUCUAGGGUUAACUUCAGUUUUAGCCCCAAAUUGAUUUUUCUCUGUGACAUCCACCCUUUUAGAUAACUGACCAAUUUGCGUCUUCAAACUCC
This 449-nucleotide long non-coding RNA is filed under the name Vigna radiata. RNAcentral's name for it is "long non-coding RNA (VRAD_LNC010338)". Lineage: Eukaryota; Viridiplantae; Streptophyta; Magnoliopsida; Fabales; Fabaceae. The record is from RNAcentral.